Molecule: long non-coding RNA, 558 nt
Filed under: Papio anubis (olive baboon)
Lineage: Eukaryota; Metazoa; Chordata; Mammalia; Primates; Cercopithecidae
Description: lncRNA (ENSPANG00000046417.1)
Source: RNAcentral
GUAGAAGCCCCAGAAAUGCAGGGGCAUUGUCUGGUUCCCUGCUAUAUCCUGAUUGCCUCAAAGUACAGGUACUUCUUCAUCUCUCAUUAAUUCAUUCCACCUUGAAGAUCUUUGCUUACACUGACAGAGGGAUUGUGUAAAGAUGAUAAUUGUUGGAGUUUAUGAAUUUCCCAAGAUACUCGCCCAUGGGAAACUUUAAUUUGGAAGAAAACAAUCAUAGGAAACAGCUGGAUCCCAGAAUCCAAUUUUCAGAUGGCAGGGGUUAGUGAGGCACCCAGCCUUCAAGAACAGAAGAAGGAGAGGUCUGGCAACCAGAACCUGGGGUCAGCUUCUGGCGUGAGCUGCAGUUCUAUAUCCACUGAUGAGAAAUGUCUUUCCUGGAGCUGCCCUGCAGCAUGGCUUGCAUGUUGCAUGGACUCUCAACCUGACUCCAGCCCUCCAGGAAGUUCACAUUCUGGCCAUUGGGACAUCAAGGGUAGAAACACAGAGUGGACCACAGUGAUACAGAGAAAAAUGAAUUUGGCUAGUUUCAUCAUAAACCGAAGAAAGCACACCUGA